AUAAAAGUAGUUAAAAAUAAAUAACCUUAGAUUUGCACUCUAAAAUUGGGAUUUUUCCCCUUUUAUG
This 67-nucleotide transfer RNA is filed under the name Ophioplocus japonicus. RNAcentral's name for it is "tRNA-Ala". Lineage: Eukaryota; Metazoa; Echinodermata; Ophiuroidea; Amphilepidida; Ophiolepididae. The record is from RNAcentral.